AUCCAGAUUGGAGGCCUUUGUGGUGGGUGGUGGACUGCAGGUGGAACCAAGCACAGGUGUGCCCUGGGCAGAGGUGGGCAAGAGGAAGGAACCCAAACAGUGCUGAUUCCACAUGGCCCUUGGUCAAGAAGCUGAAGGCCUAGAAAGGAGGUCUGAGAUGGAGGUGACACAGGCCUUGUGCCUGGGAGCACAAUGAGGAACCACACCCAGAUGCCAACGCUGAGGUGCCGUGUGUCUACUAUAAGGCGGAAGACACCAACAAAAAUGAUUUAAAUAUAAGCCAGUGGACCCUACCUGAGGCAACCAUGAAAGCCAACAAAUGAGACAAGUUUGGGUGGAGGUGCUCAUGGGGCACUUUCUAAAACAUCUUCAAUUCAGUUAGACUCAACUAAUCCAGGACCUCAUUUACCCGAUGAUGAAGCCAAUUGGUCAAAGACUUCUUCCAGCAUUUUCUUCUUUGUCUUCAUGUCUCCAAUAUUUAACCUAAGAAGAUAAACAGAAAGACCUUGGAAACCAUACCCAAUGGGGAUAUUUGCAAUGUCAUCAGGUAAUUUUGUACGCAGAUUCUUAUGAUGGAGUUAGUUUUCUAUACUACAUCAUGAGCAGAGCUAUCAGGAC
This is a long non-coding RNA of Homo sapiens (human), 618 nucleotides long. Ensembl annotates it as CNTN4 antisense RNA 1. Its record names the gene CNTN4-AS1. NCBI's taxonomy places the organism in Eukaryota, Metazoa, Chordata, Mammalia, Primates, Hominidae. The record is from Ensembl.